CCGCCCGGCGCUGGUGGGGCUGUACCAGGAGACCUCCAUGCUCACCUUCGAGGGCCAUAAGUUCCAGGGCCCCGCCGCCAUUGCCGGCAAGCUCGGAUCUCUCCCCUUCCAGGCCUGCCAGCACAAGAUCGACACCGUCGACUGCCAGCCGUCGGGACCCCAGGGAGGCGUGCUCGUCUUCGUCUCCGGCUCCAUCCGCACCGGCCCCGAGGAUCACCCCCUCAAGUUCUCCCAGGUAUGCACCUCCGCUUGGCCUCGAUCCUCCUUCCCACUCGUAGCAAGGCUUAUUUUAUUGUGUCUGGUAGUGGUACGCGAUGACUUGUCAC
This 326-nucleotide long non-coding RNA is filed under the name Sorghum bicolor (sorghum). RNAcentral describes it as "long non-coding RNA (SBIC_LNC013374)". The record is from RNAcentral. Lineage: Eukaryota; Viridiplantae; Streptophyta; Magnoliopsida; Poales; Poaceae.